AUUGAACGCUGGCGGCAGGCCUAACACAUGCAAGUCGAGCGGAGCGGCGGACGGGUGAGUAAUGCCUAGGAAUCUGCCUGGUAGUGGGGGAUAAAGUCCGGAAACGGGCGCUAAUACCGCAUACUGAUGGAUGCAACCUCGGGGCAUUAGCUAGUUGGUGAGGUAACGGCUCAACCAGGCCACGAUGCAUAGCCGGCCUGAGAGGGUGAUCGGCCACACUGGGACUGAGACACGGCCCAGACUCCUACGGGAGGCAGCAGUGGGGAAGAUUGGACACUGGGCGAAAGCCUGAUGCAGCCAUGCCGCGUGUGUGAAGAAGGUCUUAUGUUUGUAAAGCACUUUAGGUUGGGAGGCGUUACCUACAGAAUAAGCACCGGCUAACUUCGUGCCAGCCGCCGCGGUAAUUC
RNAcentral lists this ribosomal RNA (407 nucleotides) under uncultured bacterium. RNAcentral describes it as "partial 16S ribosomal RNA". It matches the Rfam family "Bacterial small subunit ribosomal RNA", at positions 30 to 526 of the family's 1533-position model. The record is from RNAcentral.